UACAGAGGUCUCAAGCGUUGUUCGGAUUCAUUGGGCGUAAAGGGUGCGUAGGUGGCGCUGUAAGUCGGGUGUGAAAUUUCGGAGCUUAACUCCGAAACUGCAUUCGAUACUGCGGUGCUUGAGGACUGGAGAGGAGACUGGAAUUCAUGGUGUAGCAGUGAAAUGCGUAGAGAUCAUGAGGAAGACCAGUGGCGAAGGCGGGUCUCUGGACAGUUCCUGACACUGAGGCCCGAAGGCCAGGGGAGCAAACGGG
This 253-nucleotide ribosomal RNA is filed under the name uncultured bacterium. RNAcentral's name for it is "partial 16S ribosomal RNA". It matches the Rfam family "Bacterial small subunit ribosomal RNA", at positions 524 to 776 of the family's 1533-position model. The record is from RNAcentral.